Molecule: transfer RNA, 20 nt
Filed under: Latania lontaroides
Lineage: Eukaryota; Viridiplantae; Streptophyta; Magnoliopsida; Arecales; Arecaceae
Description: partial transfer RNA-Phe
Source: RNAcentral
GUCGGGAGAGCUCAGUUGGA